Molecule: transfer RNA, 73 nt
Filed under: Stegodyphus mimosarum
Lineage: Eukaryota; Metazoa; Arthropoda; Arachnida; Araneae; Eresidae
Rfam family: tRNA
About the family: Transfer RNA (tRNA) molecules are approximately 80 nucleotides in length.
Source: Rfam by way of RNAcentral
GCCUUCGUGGUGUAAUUGGAAGCAUGGUCGGUGCGUAUUCCAUAAGUCCAGGGUUCGAAUCCCGACGAGGGCA